Long non-coding RNA from Myxocyprinus asiaticus (Chinese sucker), 701 nucleotides. RefSeq lists it as uncharacterized. The record is from RefSeq and is a predicted model, not a curated record. NCBI's taxonomy places the organism in Eukaryota, Metazoa, Chordata, Actinopteri, Cypriniformes, Catostomidae. The transcript has 4 exons.
AUCUGGUUUUAUCAGUGUAAUAACCGUUCCCAGACCUGUGCUAAUGAAACCUGUCAGUGAGUUCGGACAUGUGCAAGAAACUAAGGGUGACCAGAUGCUGCUCAACCAUUGCUGUGCCCGACAUACCUGUACAUACACACACGUGUGUCUGGAGGAUAUUCCUGGACAGCCCUGCUGAAAAGACUGGCUUAGACCAGCAUUUUUCAUUUCCAGCAAGUUGGUUUAUGCUGGUUAGUGCUGGUUUGGUGCUGGUUUAAGCUGAUGAAAUAUUAUAUCCAUCUUGUUCCCCAGCUAAAGACAAAUUGAUCGCAGACACAGCUGUAUUGACAGCGCAUCAGUAGGAAGUGGAGAUGACUUAAUCAGGCCGGACACUCCAUAAUGAGCACCUUGUUUUUUACUAAAUCUGUUUAUCUGGACGGUCUCUGAUGGACUAAGAGCAUCCUGUUGUCAUGGAGACUGUUGUUGCAUUUGGACAUUUACAGAAUUUACAAUCUGUGAGCUGGAGAAUUUGCUUGCCAACUACUGUGCCAUCCAUCAAGAAGAACACGCUUAACUUUCUCCAGUACCUUGAGAGUUUGCCUGCAGAAGACCGAUGCUGUCAUCAAACAGCAUGGACUUGAUGUUGAGAGACGCCAGAAUACAUUCCUUAUCCUGGAGAGACACAUCGUCGAUAUUGUUCUGAUUGGCUGACAGAAUGACAC